RNAcentral lists this ribosomal RNA (91 nucleotides) under Prolixibacter denitrificans. The record is from RNAcentral. Lineage: Bacteria; Pseudomonadati; Bacteroidota; Bacteroidia; Marinilabiliales; Prolixibacteraceae.
GGGUUCCACCUCUUCCCAUUCCGAACAGAGAAGUUAAGCCCGUCAGCGCCGAUGGUACUGCAGAGAUGUGGGAGAGUAGGUCGCCGCUUAU